Molecule: ribosomal RNA, 406 nt
Filed under: uncultured bacterium
Lineage: Bacteria
Description: partial 16S ribosomal RNA
Rfam family: Bacterial small subunit ribosomal RNA
Source: RNAcentral
AUUGAACGCUGGCGGCAGGCCUAACACAUGCAAGUCGAGCGAGUGGCGGACGGGUGAGUAAUGUCUGGGAAUCUGCCCGAUAGAGGGGGAUAACUACUGGAAACGGUGGCUAAUACCGCAUACCAUCGGAUGUGCCCCGAUGGGAUUAGCUAGUAGGUGGGGUAAAGGCUCACCUAGGCGACGAUCACUAGAUGGUCUGAGAGGAUGACCAGCCACACUGGAACUGAGACACGGCCCAGACUCCUACGGGAGGCAGCAGUGGGGAAUAUUGCACAAUGGGCGCAAGCCUGAUGCAGCCAUGCCGCGUGUAUGAAGAAGGCCUUAGGGUUGUAAAGUACUUUCAGCGGGGAGGCGUUACCCGCAGAAGAAGCACCGGCUAACUCCGUGCCAGCAGCCGCGGUAAUAC